This 253-nucleotide ribosomal RNA is filed under the name uncultured bacterium. Its description in RNAcentral is "partial 16S ribosomal RNA". It matches the Rfam family "Bacterial small subunit ribosomal RNA", at positions 524 to 776 of the family's 1533-position model. The record is from RNAcentral.
UACGGAGGGUGCAAGCGUUAUCCGGAUUCACUGGGUUUAAAGGGUGCGUAGGCGGGCAGGUAAGUCCGUGGUGAAAUCUCUGAGCUUAACUCAGAAACUGCCAUGGAUACUAUUUGUCUUGAAUAUUGUGGAGGUAAGCGGAAUAUGUCAUGUAGCGGCGAAAUGCUUAGAUAUGACAUAGAACACCAAUUGCGAAGGCAGCUUACUACACAGUUAUUGACGCUGAGGCACGAAAGCGUGGGGAUCAAACAGG